UACGUAGGGGGCAAGCGUUAUCCGGAUUUACUGGGUGUAAAGGGAGCGCAGACGGCAGUGCAAGUCUGGAGUGAAAGCCCGGGGCUCAACCCCGGGACUGCUUUGGAAACUGCAUAGCUGGAGUGCUGGAGAGGCAAGCGGAAUUCCUAGUGUAGCGGUGAAAUGCGUAGAUAUAUGGAAGAACACCAGUGGCGAAGGCGGCUCUCUGGUCUGCAACUGACGCUGAGGCUCGAAAGCAUGGGUAGCGAACAGG
This 253-nucleotide ribosomal RNA is filed under the name uncultured Eubacteriales bacterium. RNAcentral describes it as "uncultured Clostridiales bacterium partial 16S ribosomal RNA". It matches the Rfam family "Bacterial small subunit ribosomal RNA", at positions 524 to 776 of the family's 1533-position model. The record is from RNAcentral. Lineage: Bacteria; Bacillati; Bacillota; Clostridia; Eubacteriales.